AGGGUUCGAUUCUGGCUCAGGAUGAACGCUGGCGGCGUGCUUAACACAUGCAAGUCGAACGGGAUCCAUCAGGCUUUGCUUGGUGGUGAGAGUGGCGAACGGGUGAGUAAUGCGUGACCGACCUGCCCCAUGCACCGGAAUAGCUCCUGGAAACGGGUGGUAAUGCCGGAUGCUCCAUCACAUCGCAUGGUGUGUUGGGAAAGCCUUUGCGGCAUGGGAUGGGGUCGCGUCCUAUCAGCUUGAUGGCGGGGUAACGGCCCACCAUGGCUUCGACGGGUAGCCGGCCUGAGAGGGCGACCGGCCACAUUGGGACUGAGAUACGGCCCAGACUCCUACGGGAGGCAGCAGUGGGGAAUAUUGCACAAUGGGCGCAAGCCUGAUGCAGCGACGCCGCGUGAGGGAUGGAGGCCUUCGGGUUGUAAACCUCUUUUGUUAGGGAGCAAGGCACUUUGUGUUGAGUGUACCUUUCGAAUAAGCACCGGCUAACUACGUGCCAGCAGCCGCGGUAAUACGUAGGGUGCAAGCGUUAUCCGGAAUUAUUGGGCGUAAAGGGCUCGUAGGCGGUUCGUCGCGUCCGGUGUGAAAGUCCAUCGCUUAACGGUGGAUCCGCGCCGGGUACGGGCGGGCUUGAGUGCGGUAGGGGAGACUGGAAUUCCCGGUGUAACGGUGGAAUGUGUAGAUAUCGGGAAGAACACCAAUGGCGAAGGCAGGUCUCUGGGCCGUUACUGACGCUGAGGAGCGAAAGCGUGGGGAGCGAACAGGAUUAGAUACCCUGGUAGUCCACGCCGUAAACGGUGGAUGCUGGAUGUGGGGCCCGUUCCACGGGUUCCGUGUCGGAGCUAACGCGUUA
Molecule: ribosomal RNA, 850 nt
Filed under: human gut metagenome
Description: bacterial SSU rRNA
Rfam family: Bacterial small subunit ribosomal RNA
Source: RNAcentral